This 253-nucleotide ribosomal RNA is filed under the name uncultured bacterium. RNAcentral describes it as "partial 16S ribosomal RNA". It matches the Rfam family "Bacterial small subunit ribosomal RNA", at positions 524 to 776 of the family's 1533-position model. The record is from RNAcentral.
UACGGAGGAUGCAAGCGUUAUCCGGAAUUAUUGGGCGUAAAGCGUCCGUAGGUGGCCAUGCAAGUCUGCUGUCAAAGCAUGGAGCUUAACUCCAUAGAGGCAGUGGAAACUGAAUAGCUAGAGUUCGGUAGGGGUAGCGGGAAUUCCCAGUGUAGCGGUGAAAUGCGUAGAGAUUGGGAAGAACAUCGGUGGCGAAAGCGCGCUACUGGGCCUAAACUGACACUGAGGGACGAAAGCUAGGGGAGCGAAAUGG